This 158-nucleotide unclassified non-coding RNA is filed under the name Bulbithecium arxii. RNAcentral describes it as "Leucosphaerina arxii partial internal transcribed spacer 2". The record is from RNAcentral. Lineage: Eukaryota; Fungi; Ascomycota; Sordariomycetes; Hypocreales; Bionectriaceae.
CAACCCUCAGGACCCCUCCGCGGGACCUGGCGUUGGGGAUUGGCCGUCAGCCAGCCCCUAAAUAUAGUGGCGGUCCCUCCGCGACCUCCCCUGUGCAGUAGCGAUACCUCGCAGCGGGAUAGCGGUUCGACCACGCCGUAAAAAGCCCAAUUUCUCAA